GCUCUGGUAGCACAAUUGGUUAGCGCAUGGUACUAAUAAUACCAUGGUUGUGAGUUCAAUCCUCACCUGGAGCA
Otolemur garnettii (small-eared galago) is the source of this 74-nucleotide non-coding RNA. The record is from the annotation of a RefSeq genome assembly. Lineage: Eukaryota; Metazoa; Chordata; Mammalia; Primates; Galagidae.